UCGAUGCGACAACGACAAUGCAGCGAA
RNAcentral lists this small RNA (27 nucleotides) under Bombyx mori (domestic silkworm). RNAcentral describes it as "ovarian small RNA-7528". The record is from RNAcentral. Lineage: Eukaryota; Metazoa; Arthropoda; Insecta; Lepidoptera; Bombycidae.